Molecule: transfer RNA, 68 nt
Filed under: Cornufer vitianus (Fiji ground frog)
Lineage: Eukaryota; Metazoa; Chordata; Amphibia; Anura; Ceratobatrachidae
Description: Platymantis vitianus (Fiji ground frog) tRNA-His
Rfam family: tRNA
About the family: Transfer RNA (tRNA) molecules are approximately 80 nucleotides in length.
Source: RNAcentral
GUGAAUAUAAUUUAAUAAAAUAUUAGGUUGUGGACCUGAAAAUGAGAAAUAAGUCCUCUCUAUUCACA